RNAcentral lists this ribosomal RNA (408 nucleotides) under uncultured bacterium. Its description in RNAcentral is "partial 16S ribosomal RNA". It matches the Rfam family "Bacterial small subunit ribosomal RNA", at positions 28 to 526 of the family's 1533-position model. The record is from RNAcentral.
GACGAACGCUGGCGGCGUGCCUAAUACAUGCAAGUCGACCUUAGUGGCGAACGGGUGAGUAACACGUGGGUAACCUGCCAAUCAGAAGGGGAUAACACUUGGAAACAGGGGCUAAUAACGUAUAGUGAUGGAUGGACGCGCGGUGCAUUAGCUAGUUGGUGAGGUAACGGCUCACCACGGCCACGAUGCAUAGCCGCCCGGAGCGGGUUGUCGGCCACAUUGGGACUGAGACACGGCCCAAACUCCUACGGUAGGCAGCAGUAGUGAAUCUUCGGCAAUGGACUAAAGUCUUACCGAUCAACGCCGCGUGAGUGAAGAAGGUUUUCGGAUCGUAAAACUCUGUUGUUAGAGAAGCGGUAUCUAACCAGAACGCCACGGCUAACUACGUGCCAGCAGCCGCGGUAAUUC